GACGAACGCUGGCGGCGUGCUUAACACAUGCAAGUCGAACGGAAAGGCCCUGCUUUUGUGGGGUGCUCGAGUGGCGAACGGGUGAGUAACACGUGAGUAACCUGCCCUUGACUUUGGGAUAACUUCAGGAAACUGGGGCUAAUACCGGAUAGGAGCUCCUGCUGCAUGGUGGGGGUUGGAAAGUUUCGGCGGUUGGGGAUGGACUCGCGGCUUAUCAGCUUGUUGGUGGGGUAGUGGCUUACCAAGGCUUUGACGGGUAGCCGGCCUGAGAGGGUGACCGGCCACAUUGGGACUGAGAUACGGCCCAGACUCGUACGGGAGGCAGCAGUGGGGAAUAUUGCAAAAUGGGCGGAAGCCUGAUGCAGCAACGCCGCGUGCGGGAUGACGGCCUUCGGGUUGUAAACCGCUUUCGCCUGUGACGAAGCGUGAGUGACGGUAAUGGGUAAAGAAGCACCGGCUAACUACGUG
Molecule: ribosomal RNA, 468 nt
Filed under: uncultured bacterium
Lineage: Bacteria
Description: partial 16S ribosomal RNA
Rfam family: Bacterial small subunit ribosomal RNA
Source: RNAcentral